UCWAAUGUGGCAGRWUUAGUGCGACGGACUUAAGUCCCGUGUAUAAAUCAAAAAUUUCUUUAGAA
This 65-nucleotide transfer RNA is filed under the name Heterocerus fenestratus. RNAcentral describes it as "tRNA-Leu". Lineage: Eukaryota; Metazoa; Arthropoda; Insecta; Coleoptera; Heteroceridae. The record is from RNAcentral.